This 247-nucleotide ribosomal RNA is filed under the name uncultured bacterium. RNAcentral's name for it is "partial 16S ribosomal RNA". It matches the Rfam family "Bacterial small subunit ribosomal RNA", at positions 97 to 334 of the family's 1533-position model. The record is from RNAcentral.
GGCAAACUGGUGAGUAACGCGUGGGUAACCUGCCCUAAACCUGGGGAUAACACUGCGAAAGUGGUGCUAAUACCGAAUGUGAUCCUGAUGUACUUCAGGAUUAAAGGAGGCCUCUUCUUGAAAGCUUCCGGUUUUGGAUGGGCCUGCGUCCUAUUAGCUUGUUGGUAAGGUAACGGCUUACCAAGGCAACGAUGGGUACCCGGGCUGAGAGGCUGGUCGGGCACAUUGGGACUGAGACACUGCCCAA